UUAAUCAAAGCCAAAAAGAGGCACUCCAUUGUUAAUGGAGUCAUUGGUUAAUAAAGCCUGAUUAAA
This 66-nucleotide transfer RNA is filed under the name Leptocorisa costalis. RNAcentral's name for it is "tRNA-Asn". Lineage: Eukaryota; Metazoa; Arthropoda; Insecta; Hemiptera; Alydidae. The record is from RNAcentral.